Molecule: ribosomal RNA, 439 nt
Filed under: uncultured bacterium
Lineage: Bacteria
Description: partial 16S ribosomal RNA
Rfam family: Bacterial small subunit ribosomal RNA
Source: RNAcentral
CUACGGGUCGCAGCAGUGGGGAAUAUUGCACAAUGGGGGAAACCCUGAUGCAGCAACGCCGCGUGGAGGAUGACACAUUUCGGUGCGUAAACUCCUUUUAUAGGUCAAGAUAAUGACGGUAGCCUAUGAAUAAGCGCCGGCUAACUCCGUGCCAGCAGCCGCGGUAAUACGGAGGGCGCAAGCGUUACUCGGAAUCACUGGGCGUAAAGAGCAUGUAGGCGGGUUAAUAAGUCAGAAGUGAAAUCCAAUAGCUCAACUAUUGAACUGCUUUUGAAACUGUUAACCCAGAGUGUGGGAGAGGUAGAUGGAAUUUCUGGUGUAGGGGUAAAAUCCGUAGAGAUCAGAAGGAAUACCGAUUGCGAAGGCGAUCUACUGGAACAUUACUGACGCUGAGAUGCGAAAGCGUGGGGAGCAAACAGGAUUAGAUACCCUAGUAGUC